CAUAUAAAUGUAUUAAAGGGCUCAUAUUUCUCUCAACUCACUUUUAUUAGUCUUUGGUUCAUUUAUUUGUGUAUUUGGACCCUAAUGGUUCAUACAGUUUGAAUUUGAACCCUCCAGGUGCUGCAAAACUAUAUUUGUAUUC
Long non-coding RNA from Sphaeramia orbicularis (orbiculate cardinalfish), 142 nucleotides. RefSeq lists it as uncharacterized. The record is from RefSeq and is a predicted model, not a curated record. The transcript has 3 exons. NCBI's taxonomy places the organism in Eukaryota, Metazoa, Chordata, Actinopteri, Kurtiformes, Apogonidae.